AAGUCGUAACAAGGUUUCCGUUGGUGAACCAGCGGAAGGAUCAUUAUCAUGUGUUUCCACAUCCCACAAAACCACGUUGAACCUGUGCCUCUUGGAAGGGCAAAAGUAGUUCUACAGCGGUUCCUGUUAAUAUUGAUAUUAACAGUAGUGAUUUCGCCUUUUCCGGUUGGGCUUAGGGCAAAAUCCGAAACGUUGUACCUUCAGAUGUGUCUCCUUCUUCGGAAGGGCUGCUGAAGCUUUGCUCGGCCUUGAGUGUUUUUUUAAACCCGACCAACCUAACCACUUGAACCAAAACUUUUUCUUAACGAACUAACCUUGAGGUUUUUUUCCUACCUAUUCUUCGGAAUGGGAUGAAAAAAAUUUUCAUACGAAAUAUCUGAACAACUCUUAGCAACGGAUAUCUCGGCUCUC
RNAcentral lists this unclassified non-coding RNA (411 nucleotides) under fungal sp. Its description in RNAcentral is "partial internal transcribed spacer region". The stretch from base 1 to 46 matches the Rfam family "Eukaryotic small subunit ribosomal RNA", at positions 1786 to 1831 of the family's 1831-position model. The record is from RNAcentral. Lineage: Eukaryota; Fungi.